Molecule: ribosomal RNA, 850 nt
Filed under: uncultured Chloroflexota bacterium
Lineage: Bacteria; Bacillati; Chloroflexota
Description: bacterial SSU rRNA
Rfam family: Bacterial small subunit ribosomal RNA
Source: RNAcentral
GAUGAACGUUGGCGGUGCGCCUUAUGCAUGCAAGUCGUACGAGGUUAUAGUUUUCGGAUUAUAACUUAGUGGCGGACGGCUGAGUAACACGUAAGUAACCUACCUCCAAGUGGGGGAUAACCUGCCGAAAGGCAAGCUAAUACCGCAACGGUAGUCAAGGUAUACUUGAUUAUCAAAGCCUUAGGGCGCUUGGAGAGGGUCUUGCGCCUGAUUAGCUAGUUGGUAGGGUAAUAGCCUACCAAGGCGAUGAUCAGUAGCUGGUCUGAGAGGAUGGUCAGCCAGAUGGGGACUUGAGACACGGCCCCAACUCCUACGGGAGGCAGCAGCAAGGGAUAUUGGGCAAUGGGCGAAAGCCUGACCCAGCGACACCGCGUGAGGGAGGAAGGCCUUCGGGUUGUAAACCUCUUUUCUCGGGGAAGAAUUUUGACGGUACUCGAGGAAUAAGUCUCGGCUAACUACGUGCCAGCAGCCGCGGUAAUACGUAGGAGGCGAACGUUAUCCGGAUUUACUGGGCGUAAAGAGAGCGUAGGCGGCUCUUUAAGUCAAGUGUGAAAUCUUCUGCCUCAAUCAGAAGAGGCCGCUUGAUACUGGAGAGCUUGAGGGCAGCAGAGGGAAAUGGAAUUCCCAGUGUAGCGGUGAAAUGCGUUGAUAUUGGGAAGAACACCAGUGGCGAAGGCGAUUUCCUAGGUUGUUACUGACGCUGAGGCUCGAAAGCGUGGGGAGCGAAGCGGAUUAGAUACCCGCGUAGUCCACGCCCUAAACUGUGGACACUAGAUAUGGGGGGUAUCGACCCCCUCCGUGUCGAAGCUAACGCUUUAAGUGUCCCGCCUGGGUACACGGCCGCAAGGCU